Long non-coding RNA from Ostrea edulis (European flat oyster), 983 nucleotides. RefSeq lists it as uncharacterized. The record is from RefSeq and is a predicted model, not a curated record. Lineage: Eukaryota; Metazoa; Mollusca; Bivalvia; Ostreida; Ostreidae. The transcript has 2 exons.
GCGCACACGGAGUCAAAUUCCAUAUGCACCAUGUUUACAGUGAAUGUGUGUGAAACUGUUCUGUACAAUUGAACCGUGACCGUGGCUGUUGUAAAAUUGAUUGCAAUUGUCAUACUUCAUUGUGCAAUGGAGCUAAAUAUUGGGUUAAUUUAAAAUAACCAUCCGACGAUUACCCGGGGUUGUCAAUUUUGAACAUGUUGAUUAAUGGUGUGCCAAGACGUGCUGUAAAUGGCAUCCCCAGAAUUCUUGCUAUAUGCCUCGGCAAGUACUCGCCAAAAAAGUUUAAACUUGUUUUGCUGGUUGAAACAGACAUUGCCAUGAAUGUUUAGCUCAACGUAAUUGGUUGAUUUGGUGUUGUGACAUUAACUAAAACAAGCGUGAUAUAGCACAUGAUUUCUUUUAAUUAGAACAACACUUCAUUUCAUUUAAACAGAAUUGUACAUGUACCUGAUUUCAUUGAAUUAGAACAGCACUUUAUUUCAUUUAAACAGAAGGUACCUUAUUUCAUUUAAUUAGAAUAACACUUUAUUUCCCUCAAUUAGAAUGGUACAUGAUUUCAAUUAAGGUAGCUCCAUCACAGAUGACGUCAUAGGUUUUUUGCAAAAUCUUCAAUCAAUUAGAUUUUAUACAUGAUAAAAUAUGUCUUCUGUAGGAUUUUUAUUUAUGAGUACAUUUGUACAAUAAAAAAAAUGGUACGCUAUUUCAUACAGAAAAAUCUUAUAUUUUCUAUGAAUAUUCAAUUAUCAAUGUUACAAAAUGUUGUCAGGACAAGAAUUUUUAUGCAGAUAUUUCUCAAUUGUAUGUCUUUUAUAUGUUAAUUUCCCAGAUAUUCACAAUUAAGAUAAAAGCAAAACUUUUGUCAUUUUAACCAGUUUUAUAUGCUUUUUAUUAUGCUGUUUAACGAAAAUGUGUGGUUUUCUGGUGUUGACAUAUACUUCUGCAUAUUUAUGUAUGUCUGACACCUAUAAAACAAUGGCAAUAUA